This 419-nucleotide ribosomal RNA is filed under the name uncultured bacterium. Its description in RNAcentral is "partial 16S ribosomal RNA". It matches the Rfam family "Bacterial small subunit ribosomal RNA", at positions 355 to 767 of the family's 1533-position model. The record is from RNAcentral.
UGGGGAAUUUUGGACAAUGGGCGAAAGCCUGAUCCAGCAAUGCCGCGUGUGUGAAGAAGGCCUUCGGGUUGUAAAGCACUUUUGUCCGGAAAGAAAUCCUUGGCUCUAAUACAGUCGGGGGAUGACGGUACCGGAAGAAUAAGCACCGGCUAACUACGUGCCAGCAGCCGCGGUAAUACGUAGGGUGCAAGCGUUAAUCGGAAUUACUGGGCGUAAAGCGUGCGCAGGCGGUUUGCUAAGACCGAUGUGAAAUCCCCGGGCUCAACCUGGGAACUGCAUUGGUGACUGGCAGGCUAGANUAUGGCAGAGGGGGGUAGAAUUCCACGUGUAGCAGUGAAAUGCGUAGAGAUGUGGAGGAAUACGAUGGCGAAGGCAGCCCCCUGGACCAAUACUGACGCUCAUGCACGAAAGCGUGGGGA